AUAGCCCGGAGAUGGAUUCUGAGACACGAAUCCAGACCCUACGGGGUGCAGCAGGCGCGAAAACUUGGCAAUGCGAGCAAUCGUGACCAGGGAACUCCAAGUGGCUGGGGUAAUACCCAGUUUUUUCUUGACUCUUCAAAGGUCUUGGAAUAAGGGGUGGGUAAGGACGGUGCCAGCCGCCGCGGUAAUACCGGCGCCUCAAGUGGUAGUCGCUUUUAUUGGGCCUAAAACGUCCGUAGCCGGUCUGGUGCAUUCGUGGGUAAAUCAACCCGCUCAACGGGUUGAAUUCUGCGAGCACGGCCAGACUUGGGACCGGGAGAGGUGUGGGGUACUCUCAGGGUAGGGGUAAAAUCCUGUCAUCCUGAGAGGACCACCUGUUGCGAAGGCGCCACACUAGAACGGAUUCGACGGUCAGGGACGAAACCUAGGGGCACGAACCGGAUUAGAUACCCGGGUAGUCCUAGGUGUAAACGCUGUGGACUUGAUGUUGGGGGUGCUCCGAGCACUCUCAGUGUCGAAGCGAAGGUGAUAAGUCCACUGCCUGGGGAGUACGGUCGCAAGGCUGAAACUUAAAGGAAUUGGCGGGGGAGCACUGCAACCUGAGGAUUGUGCGGUUUAAUUGGACUCAACGCCGGGA
Molecule: ribosomal RNA, 637 nt
Filed under: uncultured Candidatus Poseidoniales archaeon
Lineage: Archaea; Methanobacteriati; Thermoplasmatota; Candidatus Poseidoniia; Candidatus Poseidoniales
Description: bacterial SSU rRNA
Rfam family: Archaeal small subunit ribosomal RNA
Source: RNAcentral